UACGUAGGGGGCAAGCGUUGUCCGGAAUCAUUGGGCGUAAAGAGCGUGUAGGCGGCCUUAUAAGUCGGCUGUGAAAGUCAAGGGCUCAACCCUUGAAUGCCGGCCGAUACUGUGAGGCUAGAGUCCGGAAGAGGCGAGUGGAAUUCCUGGUGUAGCGGUGAAAUGCGCAGAUAUCAGGAGGAACACCGAUGGCGAAGGCAGGUCUCUGGGCCACUACUGACGCUGAGAAGCGAAAGCAUGGGGAGCGAACAGG
This 253-nucleotide ribosomal RNA is filed under the name uncultured bacterium. RNAcentral describes it as "partial 16S ribosomal RNA". It matches the Rfam family "Bacterial small subunit ribosomal RNA", at positions 524 to 776 of the family's 1533-position model. The record is from RNAcentral.